This 514-nucleotide ribosomal RNA is filed under the name Mycobacterium marinum. RNAcentral's name for it is "bacterial SSU rRNA". It matches the Rfam family "Bacterial small subunit ribosomal RNA", at positions 1 to 522 of the family's 1533-position model. The record is from RNAcentral. Lineage: Bacteria; Bacillati; Actinomycetota; Actinomycetes; Mycobacteriales; Mycobacteriaceae.
UGGAGAGUUUGAUCCUGGCUCAGGACGAACGCUGGCGGCGUGCUUAACACAUGCAAGUCGAACGGAAAGGUCUCUUCGGAGAUACUCGAGUGGCGAACGGGUGAGUAACACGUGGGCGAUCUGCCCUGCACUUCGGGAUAAGCCUGGGAAACUGGGUCUAAUACCGGAUAGGACCACGGGAUUCAUGUCCUGUGGUGGAAAGCUUUUGCGGUGUGGGAUGGGCCCGCGGCCUAUCAGCUUGUUGGUGGGGUAACGGCCUACCAAGGCGACGACGGGUAGCCGGCCUGAGAGGGUGUCCGGCCACACUGGGACUGAGAUACGGCCCAGACUCCUACGGGAGGCAGCAGUGGGGAAUAUUGCACAAUGGGCGCAAGCCUGAUGCAGCGACGCCGCGUGGGGGAUGACGGCCUUCGGGUUGUAAACCUCUUUCACCAUCGACGAAGGUUCGGGUUUUCUCGGAUUGACGGUAGGUGGAGAAGAAGCACCGGCCAACUACGUGCCAGCAGCCGCGGUA